Molecule: small RNA, 446 nt
Filed under: Arabidopsis thaliana (thale cress)
Lineage: Eukaryota; Viridiplantae; Streptophyta; Magnoliopsida; Brassicales; Brassicaceae
Description: ATSL279690
Source: RNAcentral
AAGCAUCAAGUGUUUUCCUCCAACCCUUUCUAUGUUGCCGGAGAUUCUUAUUCCGGUUUGGUUGUUCCCGCUACCGUUCAAGAAAUCUCAAAAGGUAUAUACACUACAUAGUUUUACAAUAUCAAUCCCACAAGCCUUUUUCUCAAUUAAUUAUUAUUAUUAGAUUAUGGGCUUCCAACUCAAAACCAAUUGACAAUAGGUGGAGAGGCCCAUAUCUUAUAUAUACCACUUAAGAUCCUACUCAACUUCCGAUGUGGGACAAUAUCCCUAAUAAUUCUAACAAAAGAAUCAUGCAUGGUGAUGCAGGAAAUUAUGAAUGCUGCAAUCCUCCAAUAAAUCUUCAGGGCUAUGUGCUCGGUAACCCGUUAACAGACUAUACAACUGGUAGUAACAGCCGCAUUCCAUUUGCCCAUGGAAUGGCACUGAUAUCUGAUGAACUCUACGAG